CCUCCCUGUCACUCAACGCCUCAGUCACGGAUGAGAUCAGAGGCCGAGUGAGGAAACGUUGAUCAGGGAGUCGGAGCCUGAGGGUUCUGCUCUGAUUGGACCGGCUGCAGUGUUGCCAGAUCUGGCAACCCCCACUUUAAAACAAGUGGACCUGGCAACAAUGACCAGAAGUCAGCUGGGCAGGGGUGUAGCACCAAAAUCUGGGCCUGACACAUAAUCAGUCAACUCCUACUGUAUUCAGACGUUACUUUCUUGACGGUGGACGUGACGAAGUCACCGGUCAGUGGAUGAUCUGGCAGAUUCCAGUGAGUCGUGAUGUAAGAGGAGAGAAGGAAAUGAAGACACCCGGACGGUUGAUUCCAGUGACGUGGAGUUCAGCUGGAGGCUGGCGACAGAUGAGCGGACAUGUUGUUCCUCCCUGAACCCUCAGGUCUGUUCUCUGUACGGUGGCCUGCGCGGGACAUUCCUGGGUCACAGGCCGACCCACUGAGCCCCGAUCACGUCCUUCCUCCACAUCCACCAUCCAGACCUCAGUCCGCUGAGUGGAGACUGAUGAACUCUGCCUUUGUGUCAUGGUCACGGUCCAUGUUCCAACUCCAAUGACCUUGACAGAUGAAGACUGGUGUCGACGAAAUAACCUGUAUCUUCUGGGGAAAAUGCAAUUGUUCCUGCUGAUUACUGAUGAAUGAAUAAGUCCUUAAACCCCGAACACCCCGAGAAGUUCAUCGAGGGUCAUUUUUACCUUUUUAAAGAAAAUUCUCUUUAUGUAUAAACGAUGUCUGAAAAAUCCUCUAUGAAAAUACCACGCAAAAAAAAGGAUUUAUCAAAAGGUAAAAGGCAUUUUUAAAUUUUCAAUUUUCAAUUUCAAAAUGUACUAAUCGAUCAAAGACACCUGGAGUGUGUGAAUCUGUGUUGGAUCCCGCAGGAGAUGUGAUUCACGCAUCAGGUGGUUGAAUUGUAAUAAAUCCAAAAGUGCAGCACGACAUUUCAUACGGAGGCAAAUAACCUCUGAUGGUUAUGAUGAAUCCCAGGUCUUUGGCGAAAAAUCUUCAUAAAGCUGAUCUGAUCUGUAUCAGUGUUCCAUUCAUAAUAAUUAAUAAUAGUUUACCCUCGCCGUCACGGUCAGAGGUCGGUGGUUCGAUCCCCAGCUCCUCCAGCCACCAAGUCUCAGUGUCUUGAAUAAGACUUUAUUAUAGUAUAGAAUUCAUACUAUGACUCAUAGCAUGAAUCUCUUUGAGUGGUCUUUCAGACUCACAAUGUAUAAACUCAGUCCAUUUUUAUCAUCCAUUUGUUAUAAGCAAUACGCAACCAAGAAUAACUUGAACUAUGAGUGUUGAGUCCUCGGGCUGUUCCUUGUGCGUACGAGGCCCGUGAGGCAGGAACUGUUCCGUUACUCCAGAAAAAUCAUCUUGACCUUUACUUUUCUUUUUUAAUGAUUCAUUUUCUGUGGAGGAAAGAGUCUCCAGUCACACCAGCAGCUCUGCAAGGGCCGGACAACUCAAUGUGAGGAAAAGCCAGAGUCAGUCGCUGCGUCACUGAUCAGUCAAACGUCUUUCGAUCCACAUCGGUCGUAACCAGUAAAUGUAAAAACUGCUCAGAGGGAGUCUUCGGAUCAAAGAUAACCGACAUACUGUAUUUCAGUGUUAGCAUCCAAGUGUCACGGGGCUGUUCAGUCUGUCUUGACAGGAUCAGGUGGUGGUGGUCGCGUGCCAAGACGAGAGGUCAUCAUAUGUCGUCUGAGCGGCUAGUUAGCAUGCUAACAUCAGUGGAAACAAAGAUAGAACCAGAAGAAAAACAAUAGUUAACGUUGGUGUUGCUUUUCUUCCACCUCUGGAGACAGCUGUUGGCAAGUAAAGGAAUAAAGUUUAACUGUGAACUCACAAGGUUUCUGACUGACUGGAAAGUAAACAGCGGUUGCUAACUUUGGUUAUGUAGCAUGUGAGCGCUUCAGCAUUACAAAGAGUCCAACAUGUGUUAAGCUACUUCCUAUAUUUCCAAAACUGUUAAUUGUGUUGUGAGAAAAAACUCUACUUAGCCACGCUAGUAGCAUAUAGCUUCAGAGAUGGUCUGUCGUCAGUCCAACACCGAAAUAUCUCCCGAAACACUGGACAUUCAUGUUCCCUGGAGAAUAAACCAUGUGGUCGACUUUCAAAUGUUAUGAACUGUUUCCGAAAUGUUGGUAUAAAUGCAAAAUGACUGACAGCCCCAUCAGGGCAAACACCUGCUAAACAUUGGCAUUUUUGUGUUUUCAA
This is a long non-coding RNA of Scophthalmus maximus (turbot), 2252 nucleotides long. RefSeq lists it as uncharacterized. The transcript has 3 exons. NCBI's taxonomy places the organism in Eukaryota, Metazoa, Chordata, Actinopteri, Pleuronectiformes, Scophthalmidae. The record is from RefSeq and is a predicted model, not a curated record.